AUGAGUUACGUGACUAGACGCUCCGGGAAGGUUACCAGGCAACGUUAGCAUGAGCUAAGAAAUAACUACGAGCUAAGCCUUCGCUAUAGUAGGAUACAGGUCGCGUUUAGUUUACUUAUAACGUAAAAAGAGUCUUUUAAAUGCUUUUAAAAUUGGUUAUUAGACAGCUGUGGCUUUAUAAAUCGCAAUCGAGGUAUAUUUGAGAAUGAUAAAGCAGUUUCACGAAGGAACGCAGAGUGGGCGGAGUCAUGACGUGGAGUCAAGUGGGUGAUUUUUUAAUUAAAUGGGCUUCCAUAUGAAAACAUGAGAUGUGAUGGAGGGAAACCUUUUGGGAGAAACAUCUUAAAUGAGGCUUAAGAACUUCAUUAAGCUUCGUCAGGAGCGAUAUAGAGCAGCAUCUGAACAAUGAAAUGUGAUUCUGCCAUUCAGACCUGGCCAAACAUCAGCACUAAAGCAGACUGAGCUCUCUGCAAGGAUGUCUAGAAGCUGAAGCAAGGCAGGGUGCACAUGACUUUAACACCGCCAGCGUAAACACUGAUGUCACAUCCUAAAAAUCAACAUAGUGUGGCGGGAAUAUUUGGCAGCUAAACUGUAUCCUGCACAGCUGACAGCAUCAGCACUGGCUAAAUAUUGACCUAAAGUUAUCAGCACUGCAUGGCAAGCAAAUACAAAAACAGAAGAAACCCAAGUAAGCAGAACAGAUGCCUUCUCACUCAGUCAGGUUUCGUUACCUAUUUUCUGCAGAAUUGCAACUAGAGUACAACAAGAUAGACUAGG
Molecule: long non-coding RNA, 777 nt
Organism: Cyprinus carpio carpio
Lineage: Eukaryota; Metazoa; Chordata; Actinopteri; Cypriniformes; Cyprinidae
Source: Ensembl